RNAcentral lists this ribosomal RNA (253 nucleotides) under uncultured bacterium. RNAcentral describes it as "partial 16S ribosomal RNA". It matches the Rfam family "Bacterial small subunit ribosomal RNA", at positions 524 to 776 of the family's 1533-position model. The record is from RNAcentral.
UACGAAGGGGGCUAGCGUUGCUCGGAAUCACUGGGCGUAAAGGGUGCGUAGGCGGGUUUUUAAGUCGGGGGUGAAAUCCUGGAGCUCAACUCCAGAACUGCCUUCGAUACUGGAAGACUUGAGUCCGGGAGAGGUGAGUGGAACUGCGAGUGUAGAGGUGAAAUUCGUAGAUAUUCGCAAGAACACCAGUGGCGAAGGCGGCUCACUGGCCCGGUACUGACGCUGAGGUGCGAAAGCGUGGGGAGCAAACAGG